AGGAACACAAAUUCACCUUUAUAGUUCAGAAAAACCUUUCCUUCUUUUCUUCUCUUUGAAGGCUCAUCCAUAUUCACUAUUGAAAGUUCCUAUAGAUGGAAAUUAGGAUGGAAGCAAGGGUAUGUAGCUGUGAGAUUAAAGAUGAUGCUGAUGAUGAUGAAGACACCAAAUUCAAUGAUGAUUAACCAAUGAUAAUUGCAAGUUUAUUAACUUGCUUGAUCAUUUGGGCAACUGAAGAUCCUUUGGCAGUCACACUAUUACAAGAUCCUUGAUAUCUUCUAUGUAUACCUUUAUAUUUAUAAGGUUUCAAAAUAUUAAUUAAUUCCUCUAUAUGUAUGCAGUGUUAUAUUAAACAUUGUUAUGCAAGUUAUUGGUUGCUUACUAGAGAUUAUAAGUUAUUUUUUUGUGUCUUGUAUACCGUUUUGCUUUGUUUUAGGCUUUUAGCCACUUUUGUUGUUUUUCUUUUGAUGUAAUAAUUUUUGUUCUGUUUUGGCAUUUCAAAAGCUACCCAGAACAAUAAUUUACGAGAUAUAUCAUAUGACUAUGAGGGUAUAUUCUUAUGUCUGCGUAUUUUUCCUUGGUAUUAACGUGGUAUGAUUAAUUAAUUAAUUAUAAUUAAGUGCAACUGUUUCAUUAAAAAAAAAAAGUAACGAUAAGUGCCAUUUAAUUUCUUUUGGGUACGGACGGUACACUUUAAUUUUGGUACUACGAUAACUAUAAAAAAAAACUCAUAUCUCAACUUAAACUUUCUUGUCCGUCUUGAAUUAAGACAUUAAGUUUAAGUGGUUAAUAGGUUCACCAUAAAAUAAAUUAUUUGGGAGAGUCCGAGUUUGAUUCAUAACGAUCUGUCAUUUGGUAAAUUUUAUUAAUCACUUGAGUCAAAUACUUUGUUUAUAAUUAAUUGAAUUUGAACAAACAUUUUAUAGUUAAAUGAUGUUUUUUUACUAUGAAUCAACUAUAUAGUAGUAAUACAGAAUUUCUUUUCGGACUUGAGUAGCUCGAUAAAUUUUAAGUAAAAGUUAAAUGAGUUGAAGUUCACAAAUUUAAAUUUGGAAGAAGUUAGGCAUGNNNNNNNNNNNNNNNNNNNNNNNNUUUGACCUCUCCCAAACUCAAACCCACAACGUUCGGAUUUCUCCAAACUCGUCUCAAUUCUCAACGGGUAUGAAAAGUAGAACCUUAAACUCAUAGCCAACGGGGUUCGGGUAUCCCAAUUCCGUCUCGCUUCCAUAUGAGUUUGAUUGAGUUUUGGUAAUUUUUUAAUUAAAAAAGGGGUAAAAGUUAACAACUAUUUUGUUUCGACAAUACAAUUUUUUUCAAAUAAAGAAUAUAAAUAGAAAAAAAACAAUUUUAUGUAAUACUCAACUUAAAAAUAAACACAAACUUAUUAAUAUAAUAUAAGACUUUGUUUAAAUAUUUAUAAUUUAAAAGGGAUAAAAUGUAAUUAGACAUUGAAGGUGUGAAAACACAAGAAGGGGGGGGUUGAAUUGUGUUUUAGCUAAGUUAAAACUUUUUCAAGUUCUUAACUCAACUACGUUAGCAGCGGAAAAGUAACACAAUAAAUAACAAGUUAAAGAGAGNNCUUGCACUUCCAAGGGAGUUCACUAUAAUCACACAAGAUUACACCUGCUCAAGCACACAAGCAAGAGACUUCACAACUAUGCUCAAGCACACAAGCUUAAGACUUCACACUUAAGCACACAAGCUUAAGUUUUCACACUUAAGCACACAAGCUUAAGUUUUCACAAGUAAUGGUAAAGUAUAUAAAAAUAUACAAGUGCUCUUAGAUGAACCUAAAGUGAGCAAAUACAAAUAGUACAGAGUAUUUGGCUAAAGUGCAAAAACACUUGACAGAGGUUCAGAGCUUGUAUAUUACAGAGUUCAGAGUUUGUUCAGCGCACGUUCAAAUCUUAAUAAUUGUGUAUAUAUGUUUGUUGUAGCUGAAUCUUCUAGUAUAUAUACCACUAGAAAAGAGUCGUUGCAAAAAGGAACCGUUGGAGUUGAUAACCUUUUGUCUUCAAGCAGUCUGUCUUGAUGCAGUUGGUUGUAUCCAAAACUAAGNNNNNNNNNNNNNNNNNNNNNNNNNNNNNAAAGGUCCUUUUCUUCAUUGGUAGAAGAGUUGACUAACAAAGGGAAUCUUCACAGCUUUCAAAGAGAACUUCAGAGUUUGAUGAAGCUUGUAGACAGACAUGAAGUUCUGAAGUCUUCAUCCUCUGAACGUCGUAACUUCUGAAGUCCAACAUCUUCUGAGCGCUUGUGAACUUCUGAAUUCACAUCCUCUGAACUCCACUCAGGACUUCAAUGAUGCUUAUAUCUGCGCACUUAAAAUAAAUUUUUAGUCCAUUCAAUUGUUAAUUAAUACUUUGUUAUCAUCAAAACUUUUAUAGAUUUAGGGGCAAACAUUUUUAAAUCAAUUUUGUUCCAACAGACAUAAGCGGGGCGGGUUCGGGGUAGGUAUCAAGGUCCCUAUUACUCGCCUCACACCCGUAUUUUAAAAUCGGAGAAAACCCAAACCCGAACAUAAACUCAAUCAAUUCGAUUUUUUCCCGUCAAAAUUAGAAUUGGGACUUAGGGUCAACUCAAUCCUACAAAGCCAACUUAUAAAAUUAGAAUUGUCUCUACUUAUAAACUCAUAGUCAAACUAUCUCAAAUUGGAUGUGAGACUUCUUAACAUAAUAUCAAUAUAAUUAUUGUCCCCGUGAGGCUUAAUUCAAUUGUUAGGGACAUCAACAUUUUAUAUGCAGGAGCUGGUGUUCGAACCUCAGACACUCCACUUAUCCAUCUUUAAAGGUGGAAUUUCAAGUCACUAGGCUACUUGACAAAAAAAAAUCAAUAUAAUUAUUAACAUUGAUUGGUGCAAAUAAAUACACAAAUUCUAUACAAAAACAAACCCUGGCAAUGAUAAAAAAAAAUUCCAAUCUUGUAUUUGUUUGAUUUUAUUAAAAACAAAAAAAUAUAGAGAAUUGCUAACAACAGUCACUUUUAAAUAUUUUAAUUGGUUUAAAUUAACGUGAGUAUCUCAUUUAUGUAUAUGAGUGUACAUGGAUUGGAUAAAUUCAGUCGACCUUGGUCAAACACACUCAACUAAAAAAAAAAAAAGGGUCGAAUGAUUUGGUUGAUAUGAAUUUCAAAAAUGAAAAUACCCAUAAAAAAAGGGUUCUGAGUAAAACCAGGCUCAGACCCAAAAAGUUUGAUCCAAUUGUGCUAUGUUUUUUCUUUAUUGAAAUACUAAAGUUUUUUUCGUUUUUUAUCGUUAAAUAUUUUUUAUAGUUAAAAUAAAUUACAUUAUUUUUUAAGAAAAUAAAAAAGGUCGAAUUAUUUUUAUGAAAAAAAUAUGAUGGUUCAUCAUUUAGUCAUUUAAUAUUAAAAAAUAGAAAAAAUAAUUUGGGUAACAUUCAACUCAUAAAUUAGUGAAUUCACCUAAUCUGAUUCAAAAUUAGUGGUUAUUUUGUAUAGUGAAAAUGGAUGAGAUGGAUAACUUAAUUGGUUGAACUAAUUUAGCUAAGGGUUAAGGAGUUAAAAACCUAAAGUUUAAGUCCCGACUAGGAGAAAAAAAAAAAACCAACUUAACAAUUAACUAAAAUUUUGCCAUUGAAAAAAAAAAUUGUAUAAUGAAAACAUGUUACACUAUGUUUAAAGAAGAGAGAACAAGAAUCUAGGGCUAGCCAAUCCUCCAUCUAUUAUUCUAAUAUUGAGGCAUUCCAUACUUCCUAGUUCAAAAAAUAUUGUUGAGUUAUUUAUUUAUUUAGUGUAUGUCUGGUUUUAAUUUUGGAGCAGUCAUAAUUGAUUUUAGACGUGUAGAAUUGAUUCUGGCUUGUUUCGUUUCUCAAAAGUAGAAUUGAUUCCGCCUCCAGAAUGAAUUCUACUUGAAGCUAGAAAUCGUAGCUUUCGAUUUUAGAAUUGAUUUUUAGAGCAUUCACAAUGGAGCUACUCAUUUUUUAGUACUUAAGUGGGUCCCACAUAUACACAUCACUCAUUUAUAAUUUUUUUAAUAAUAGUACAUAAUAAGUACUAAAUUCCUCCAACCCAAAACCUCUUCAAAAGUUCUAAAUUGGUCCCACUAGUAGCACNNNNNNNNNNNNNNNNNNNNNNNNNNNNNNNNUCACAAAAAUUAUUUAGGUACUAUGUCUUAUUGUAGAACUAGUACCUAUUAGGUACAAUUUUAUUUUUGCUCCAAUGGGAGUACCUAUUAGGUACUAGUACUUAAAAAUAUAAGUACUACCAUUGGAGAUAGUCUUACACUCAAAUUCUUUGUUGAACUCACUUUUGUAUGAAUAUAUCCAAACAUAAAUUAAUUUUGUCAAACUCAAUUCUGUCAAAAUCAAUUUUGUCCACCGCAUAAUCAGGGGCGUCUCCGAGUUUUAGGAGGCUUUGAGCAAAAUAUAAAAGUGGCCCCUUAAUAAAUUUUUUUUAAAAAAUUGUCGAUUUAAAUUACAUAUAUAAUAUAUAAAAAAAAUCAUUCUUAUUCUUGUAAACAUAUAAAAAUUAAACCAAUUGCAUUAAAUCAAACGAGACAAGAAAUACAAAAUAAUUAUUUUGGCUUUAAUGCAGUUUUGAUCCCCCUAUUUUGAAAAAUCUGAACUUUUGAUCCCCCUAUUUUAAAACUCAGCACUUUUGAUCCCCCUAUUUUAGUUUUUUGUUAGUUUUAGUCCCCCACCUCAAUUUGNNUGACCUAUAGAGAUGCAUGUUUUGCAAUGGGAUUCCUUAAAGAUGAUCGUGUUUACAUCACUGCAAUCAAAGAAGCAAAAGAUUGGGGCUCGGGACACUAUCUAAGAAAAUUGUUUGUCCACAUGUACAAAUGUACAAUGCCACGUCAUCAGUGAGUAUGACACCUAAGCAAAAGUUUGNNNNNNNNNCUAAAACUAACAAAAAACUAAAAUAGGGGAUCAAAAGUGCUGAGUUUUAAAAUAGGGGGAUCAAAAGUUCAGGUUUUUCAAAAUAGGGGGAUCAAAACUGCAUUAAAGCCAAUUAUUUUUGUAUAUAACGUCAAAAAAGAACCUCCUAAUUUAAGGUUAAAUUCUAUGCAAAAAUUAAAAUGGACUAGAACUAUAUUUACGAGUAUAGAUAACUAAUCUAUUGAUACUCAUAUGAUAUUUUAUGAACAUUAAAAAUAUAUAAUUAUUAUUUUAGAACCUAAAAAUUAAUCUAUUAACAUACAUAUGAUAUUUUAUAAGUAUAAAUAAUAUAUAAGUAAUAUUAUGAGUCAGGAUCCGUUGACACCAACUAGUUUGACACCAAAUGUUACACCUCUCAAUAACGUUUUAACCGAUAUAAAUUUUAUAAAAUCCACCGUUGGAUUGAAAGUUUAAAUCAUAUAGAUCAUUUGUGUAAAAUUUCAGACAAAUUCCAAAAUCAUUUGAUAUGCUAUUGAGACACAUAAAGAUUAACGGCAUUUAAAAAAAUACAAAAACCGUUAAUUUUGAUGUAUCUCAAUAACAUAUCAAAUGAUUUUGGAUUUAUUUGAAAUUUUACACANNNNNNNNNNNNNNNNNNNNNNNNNNNNNNNNNNNNNNNNNNNNNNNNNNNNNNNNNNNNNNNNNNNNNNNNNNNNNNNNNNNNNNNNNNNNNGAUGAUUUAACUAUAGUUGAAAUGAGUCAACCAUGAAAUGUGUACUACUAGUUUUGCAAAACUUAAAAACAAUUCCAUAUUUUUUAUUUAUUUUUUUACUGUUUAAAAAAAGUUAAUACCGCGAAAGCAAGGAUUCAUUCGAAAAAAGGAAUCUCAUCUCAGCCAUCCAUCAUCCACACAGAGUGUUCCAACCAGCUCAUCGAUCCGCGUCAUUCUUUACUCAAAACACAAUCCUUGCCGUCCAUUGUUACGUCUAAAUGACAAUGUAAUUUAUCGGAUGAAAGUAUCUCCACGUCAUCGAUCCGCAACGAACCUCAUUAUCCAAUAAAAAUGCGAGAACCUCUUAUAUAUUAAUCGAACCGCAUCAUUCUGAAUUCAUCCAACACCAUCUUUCUCUGCGAUUACUUCAUUUCCAAAUUCCCAAUUCCCAAUUCGAAACCCUAAUUUCCUCCAAAUUCCCAAAUCUCCGAUUCAAUGGCACCAAAGGGAGAGAAGAAGCCAGCGGAGAAGAAACCCGCAGAGGAGAAGAAGUCCACCGUUGCAGAGAAGGCUCCCGCUGAGAAGAAGCCAAAGGCUGGAAAGAAGCUGCCAAAGGACGGUGGUUCAGCGGCAGCAGGAGAGAAGAAGAAGAAGAGAAACAAGAAGAGCGUCGAAACAUACAAGAUCUACAUCUUCAAAGUUCUGAAACAAGUUCACCCAGACAUUGGUAUCUCAAGCAAAGCAAUGGGUAUAAUGAACAGUUUCAUAAACGACAUAUUCGAGAAACUCGCACAAGAAUCAUCAAGACUUGCAAGGUACAACAAGAAGCCAACAAUCACUUCUAGGGAAAUUCAAACUGCUGUCAGACUUGUUCUUCCCGGUGAAUUGGCCAAGCAUGCUGUUUCUGAGGGUACCAAAGCUGUGACCAAGUUCACAAGUUCUUAGACUUGAUAUGAUUUAAUUGGCCUCUCUAUUGUGUUCUUGUUUUCUGGGAUAUGUUACUCUAUCUGAUUUUAGGAUCUAUUAGAGAUUUUAAUUAGUACUUUUUAUUUUUCGUGUUUCUUACUUUUGAAAUUGUAAUGAAGUAAUUGGAUCUUUAUGGUCCUUUUUGUGUAUAAAAAUGAAGGAAUUAAUCGUUCUUAUUAUUUGGUUCUUUGAAGAAACGGAAUUGGAAUCUGUGUUAAUUGUCUUAGUUUUGCGGAUUUCAGUGUUAUGUUUGUGGUUGCAGUUGAAAGAGAAUUUUUAUCCAUAAAAAUGUUCAUUGCCUUCUGGCGUGGGUUUUGCAUUUUGUUUUCCAUAAUUUUUUGUAAGUUAAGUCUCGGUUUACUUUUUGAAAUCAUGUUCAGUUUAAAUUGUUUGCAAUGAUAUAAACAAUAAAGACUAAUUGUGAUAUAGGAUGGAAAGGAAGCAAGGGUGGGUGAUGCUGCAUUUUUAGAAAUAAUGGAAACAGUUUUUGCCGUUUCUGAAAUGGCUUUAUCUGUUUUAACUCUGUUUUGGAGUUAUCUAUUUUAGAAAAUUUCUUUGCUUUGGUUUUACAGUUUUUUUUGUUGAAAAUAAGCCUGGGUGUAAUUGAUUGUAAGCUUUCACUGGUUUAACACAUAUUUGGGGAUAGUUUUUACAUGAUUGUUGUUGGAUUGUUGAAAUGACCCAUUGAGCAUGAAUAUAUAUGUAUUCAUGGACAGAAGCUCUGUUGGAACCAAAAGAUAAAGAUUAAAAUUUUGUAGUCAUGUAUUUAGAUGUUGGAACCAUAAUCUCCAAAUAUUUUCCUAAUAGAAUAAAUGAUAUCAGCAUAGAACUGGUCUCAAAGAAAUCUNNNNNNNNNNNNNNNNNNNNNNNNNNNNNNNNNNNNNNNNNNNAUAUCAUUCCUUGAACUAACAAGUUAUGCUUCAAAGCCGGAAUCUUCUACAACUUCAAUUAUUUUGUUGGUAUUAAUGAGUUUAGGAUCAAAGAGUACUUUUGCUUCCUCUAAGGCUAAACCAACUAUACUGCCUUUUUUGACUCUUUUGCUUCCUCUAAGGCUAAACCAACUAUACUGCCUUUUUGACUCCUUCAGCUAUUUGCAAAUCAUGCUCAACAGAUUGUGAACAACUUGUGCAAGUCAUUCCCUUAAUCUUGAUUCGGCAUUCUUGAAUCUGCAAUAAUGGUUUCUUAAGAUCCGCGAUCCCAUUCGCGUCUAUUUUUUCAUCUUGAGACGAACACUUAGUUAGUCCUGCAAAAAAUUCAAAGAAACAUAGUUUAGAAAACAAAAUUAUAAUUCCUCGUUUUUUAAGAUCGACAACUUAACAAACCUCGGAAACAACUCAUUGUAGUUCGAUAAUAGCAAAACCUUAGCGAACACAAAAACACACAAUAUAAAUAUAUAUACACGCCAAAUCUAAAAUUUGAAAGCAUAUGUUUCAUAUACUUCAAUUUAAAACCUUGGUUUGCUGCUGCAUGAUCUCUAUUGAGAUAUUUUCUAUUGACACGAGGUGUAUAUCCUUCCUUUAUUUGGUUUCGUCGCUCCCUGAACCGGUUGACGAUAUACCUCUCUUCGAUUUCAGACUGUCUUUUGUAAGCUUCUAUAUCAAAAGGAAAUUCUGAAGGAUCCAUUGAUAUUUUUUUAGUCAUAUGAGAUUUUUAUUAUUGGUACAACAAUGGAAGAAUGAGCCCCCAUUUAAAUAAGAAAUUGAGUUGGUGAAAUGGAUGGACUCGAAACAUAUAAUGCAAUGUGGUUAAAUAAUAGAUAAUGAUAGAAAUCAGAUUAAGUGGUUGAAAUGGACGGACUCCAAACAAAUACUUCAAUGUAGUUAAAUAAUAGAUAAGGCAGAAAGUGACAAAAUACAAACAACGACUUGACAAUACAUAAUUUAAAUGAAAUGGAGUUAAAUAGUAAAUAAGACACAACGCGACAAAAUACAAACAAUGACUUGACAACAUUUAAUUUCCAAACAGAUCGCGACCCAACUUUUCCAACAUCUCUUUGCACCGAUCAUCGAGAUGCUCCUUUGAACUUAACUUCAUAAACAUCUCCAUCUUCUUAGCCUGGUUAGUCUCCUCUUGCCUCAUGAUUAUUUUGUCCAAUCGUUCAAACUCUUUCUCCAUAUAUUGUUUGAGUUCAUUCCACUCUUCACUGGCCGAAGACUUACUUGAUCCUGCAAAAAAUUCAAAGAAACAUAGUUUAGAAAACAAAAUUCUAAUUCCUCGUUGUUUUUCAAGAUUGACAACUUAACAAACCUUGGAAACAACUCAUUGUAGUUCGAUAAUAGCAAAACCUUAGCGAACACAAAAACACACAAUAUAAAUAUAUAUACACGUCAAAUCUAAAAUUUGAAAGUAUAUGUUUCAUAUAUUUCAAUUUGAAACCUUGGUUUGCCGCUGCAUGAUAUUUUCUCUUGACACAAGGUGUAUAUCUUUCCUCUAUUUGGUUUCGUCGCUCCCUGAACCGGUUGACGAUAUACCUCUCUUCGAUUUCAGACCGUCUUUUGUAAGCUUCGAUAUCAAAAAGAAAUUUUGAAGGAUCCAUUGUGUCACGAACCAAACUCGAAUCGUGACCGGCGCACAAACUAAUACUAGUCCGGCAAGCCUAAUGACAAAAUUUAACAAACAAUAAAUAUAAUAUUUCCAAAUGACUAUUUACUUCAGAACAAUAUUUACUGAAAUUUCAACAAAGUCUCAAUUGCAUUUUCAUUGUUUCCAAAUCAAAAUAAAUCCUGUUUGCAGCAUAUACAUCUUUCAGUCAAGAGUUUCAAAAUAUACAUGUUUAAAUUUAUACAUUUGAAAACAAGAUAUUCCUAGACUCAAAAUAGCUGCAAAUACUCAACCAACUCAAAAUAUACAUAUACAAAAUAACAUUUCAUCAAGGAAGCCUACCAAAAGAAUGACACCGACGACUCUCAAUAUCUGCUAGAAACCCCCUACUCAGCUGACUUUGAAUCUGAAAAAAAAAAAGAAAAGAAGAAUAUGAAGGAGUAAGUCACAAGGACUUAGUGAGAGAUAACAACCACUACCAACUAGAUUAGAUGGGAAACACACAAAGGCACGAGCAUUUGAUUUUUUAGAAAGCUUGUAAUAAUUAUUGUAAAGUAGUAACUACGUGAUAUAAAUAAUACUCGAUACAAAUCAUUAUAGAGUUACGAGAAAUUUGAAAUAAGAAAAGUAUGGAAAUCCAAUCAAAUAAAAAGAAUUUGUUACGAGAGAAUCGAGAGAUGGCUUCAUCUCGUUGAUAGCCCUUUCCUCCUAAGAGCGGCCUUUCACUUAGGGGCAGCUCCAUCUAACGGAUAACCCUUUUCUCCUCGAUUAUGAAAACACAUCCUCAUCUUUAAUUAGGGACUCUACAACUCGUUGAUAGUCAAUUCGUUAAGAGAGAAUCGAGAGAUGGCUCCAUCUCGUUGAUAGUCCUUUCCUCCUAAGAGGAGCCUUUCACUUAGGGGCGGCUCCAUCUAACGAAUAGCCCUUUUUUGCUCGAUAUUAUAUAACUAGGUGACCUAGAUCGUUAUUUCCGUUAACAGCCAAAUGGUCAAAACCGUGAUUUCGCAAAAACACUUCAUUAGAAUCAUGUUUUAACCCAAAUUCCAAAUCUAUGUAAAAAUAAACGAAAUCAAACCACAAUUUCAAAUCCGCUACUUUAAAUAUCGUAAAUAAAUCAAACUAGAGUCCAUGUAAAUGUCAACGGCUUUAAAAUAAAUAAAGGAUGACGAAAAAGGUUUCAAAGGAACAUUUAUNNNNNNNNNNNNNNNNNNNNNNNNNNNNNNNNNNNNNCAACUCACUGUUAUGACGAAUCAACUAAGUUUUCACUCCAACCACUCCUGCCAAGCAUGUGAAGCUUCAGUAACAACAGAUAACCAUGAAAUAUUCUAAUAUAUACUCUAAUUUCUGGAUUGAAAUUAAUUUCUAACCCACUAAUCAUCAUGUUUAAAUAUGCACUAAUUGAAAUGUAAGUUGAUAAAUAUACCUCAAAGAGUCUCAAUGAACAAUUUUUCAAGAGUGGGUAUUCAUCUCCUUCCUUAAAGCAUUAACCCUAACCCCAAAAUUAUACCCAAUAAUAUUUGUGGAAGCAUGAGAAAGCUUAUAAUAGAGAUGUAGUGUCUUCCUUUUGAGUGUAUGGUUGAUAUUUGUUGAGAAGAAGAGGUGAAAUGGAAAGAUAGAGAAAAAGAAAAAGAAAGAAAGAAAAAAAAAACGUGGAACAGGGGAAGUAGAGAAAGUGAAAGAAGAAAGUGAGAUAAUUGAUGUGUGGGGUGGGUAUGUGGUUUUUUAUUUUGUCUCUGUUUUAUUAUUAUUACUAACGGGUCAGACAGAACGCGGAUGCCUGUAUGUAACUUAUGUAAAAAAAAAAAAUAGGUUUUAUGUUAUGGUGAAUUUGUUAAUAAGAGAUUUUUAUUGCUAAAAAAUAAUGGUAUUGUUGGUAUUAUGAAAAUUCGACACCAAAAACAUUUGUUUCCUCUUUAUAUAUAAUAUAUAUAUAUGUAGUAUUAAUUUGGUAACCGUUCAUGUAUACGCAACCCAUUUUCUACUUAUUCACAUUUUUAUGAUUUGAAUAUUUUUUUUUUAAAAAAACUCAUUAGUUAAUGGAAGUUGUGAAACUAAGUCAAGGGUAAAAUAUGGAUAUUGAAAAAUCCAUCUCAAACUCACCUAUCAUUUUUAUAUAUUGUUAUAGAAAUAUAUAUGUAGUAUUAAGUUGGUAACCGUUGAUGUAUACGCAACUCAUUUGUCACUUAUUCACAUCUUUAUGAUUUGAAUAUUUUUUUUUAAAAAAAACUCAUUAGUUAAUGGAAGUGGUGAAACUAAGUCAAAGGUAAAAUAGGGAUAUUGAAAAAUUCAUCCCAAACUUACCUAUCCUUUUUAUAUAUUGUUAUAUAUUAUUAUUAUUAUUAUUAUUUAAAUGAAACGGUGCGUUUCACAUUGAUAUUUUUUUUUGGUAGUAAGAGAUUUACAACAAUGAAAGAAUGAACUUCCAUUUAAAUAAGAAACUGAGUUGGUCAAAUGGACGGACUCCAAACAUAUAAUGCAAUGUAGUUAAUUAAUAGAUGGAGAUAGAAAUCAAAUUAAGUGAUUGAAAUGGACGGAGUCCAAACAAAUACUGCAAUGUAGUUAAAUAAUAGAUAAGGAUAGAAAUCAGAUUGAGUGGUUGAAAUGGACGGACUCCAAACAAAUACCGCAAUGUAGUUAAAUAAUAGAUAAGGCAGAAAGUGACAAAAUACAAACAACGACUUGAUAACAUUUAAUUUCCAAACAGAUCGCGACCCAACUUUUCCAACAACACUUUGCUCCGAUCAUCGAGAUGCUCCUUUGAACUUAGCUUCAUAAACAUCUUCAUCUUCUUAGCCUUAGUACUUUCUUUCAUCAAUUGGUUAGCCUCUUCUUGCCUCAUGGCUAUUUUGUCCAAUCGUUCCAACUCUUUCUCCUUAUAUUGUUUGAAUUCCUUCCACUAUUCAUUGACCGAUUCUAAGGAUACGCCCUUGCUUUUCUUUUUACCCUUUUUUUAGCUGCAUCCCUCCCCAUUGGGCGAACACUAGAUCCUACAGAGUUGGAAUCACUUGCAUCACUCUCGCGGACUCUCUUAGAUCCACUACUUCUAGAGCCAGUAUUUCCUCCUACCUGACUACCAUAACAUGGUUGAUCACGAAGAUUUGUAUUGAAAAUUCAGGAAAUUCAUCAAGUCCAACAUUCGGAACAUUUUCAUUUUCUAUUGGAGUAGAAGAAUAAUAAGGGGGUGCUUGACAUGAAUAAGGCAUCAUUGAUCCAUAAUAUGGACGAUAAUUUGGAUUAGAUGACGGCAUGAUGAAAUUUGGAAGAAAUCCAUAAUUUGGUAUAUUUUGGGGACCUCGUUGGUUGGAAGAUUCAUUUUGAAAUCUAUAGUUGUUGGGAUUUGGGUAUAGUUGAAUGGAUAAUUAGUAGAAUUUUGGGUGUUAAAAGGGUUAUUGUUGGGAUCCAUUUUACUAAAAAAAUGUUUAGAACUACAAACAAUAGUUUAUUGAAGGUUAAAUAAAAAAAUUAGAGGGAACAUUUUGUUUCUUUUCUGUGUCCAAAUCAAACGAACCAAAUAUCUAUUUAUAGAAAAAAAAAAUGAUGAAUUCUAGUGGAAAAAAAAAUUAAAAAAAAAUUUACUAUGAAAUAAUUGACCCCAAAUAAAUAAGUUGAGAUAAAAAUCUGAAAAUCACAACAACCAAUAAGAUCAACUGUUACAUGUUUAAUCUUUUCAAUCUCCAACAAUCCAACUCGCUUUCAACACUCCACUACAACACUUUCAACUACUCCCUCGGUCCCAAAAUGAGUGAGUCAUUUUGACUAUAUGCACUAUUCACAUAUCUUAUUUUGACUUUGUUUUUCUACCAAUAAAUAAAAACAAAUAUUACUAUAUAAGAUGUUGGAUUCAUCUCGAUGAAUAUUUUCAAAAUAUCAUUUUUUUAUAAUUUUUAUUAUUGUACAAUUAAAAAUAUUAAUCGUCAAAGUUAUGCAUUAACAUACGUGACACAAGUCAACUGACUCACUAAUUGUGGGACGGAGGGAGUACUAUUUAAUUCAUUUUUCAACACCGUCGUUGUACACGUUCUAACAAAAAUAUAAAUGAAAUAAUCCUAUUGGUUAGUUUGACUUGCCGUAGAUUACGCUCCAAUCGACGGUCACCAUCUUCCCCCUCUCAAUUUCUCAAAAUUUUCCCAAUUCCCCACUUUUCCCUCAUUCUUCCCAUCCCUAUAUAAUCCCCAAACACUUCAUUCCCUCUCAUAGCAAUUCAAUUUUCCAUUCUCUCUCUCAAAUCACAAACAAGCACUUAUUUUCCCUCUUAUUUUCUCUCGGAUCAAAAUGGCACGUACAAAACAAACCGCUCGCAAAUCCACCGGAGGAAAAGCACCAAGGAAACAACUAGCAACAAAAGCCGCUCGGAAAUCUGCUCCGGCGACCGGAGGAGUGAAGAAGCCACACAGAUUCCGUCCAGGAACAGUUGCUUUAAGAGAGAUCAGAAAGUAUCAAAAGAGCACGGAGCUUCUCAUUAGGAAACUUCCAUUCCAAAGACUGGUUAGAGAAAUCGCUCAGGAUUUCAAAACUGAUUUACGAUUCCAAAGUAGUGCUGUUUCUGCUCUUCAAGAAGCUGCUGAAGCUUAUCUUGUUGGUUUGUUUGAAGAUACUAAUCUUUGUGCUAUUCAUGCUAAGAGAGUUACUAUUAUGCCUAAGGAUAUUCAACUCGCUCGUAGGAUUAGAGGCGAGAGGGCUUAGAUUUGAUUUCUUAGGGUUUAUGUUCUUGAUUAGAUUUCUGUUUGGGUUUGAUUCUUGACUAAUCAUGUUCUUGUAAGAAAAGUUUGAUCUACUUUAGAAUGUAAUCAGGUUAAAUUUGAAUUCAAUGGGUUUAACAAUCUCUGUUUCAGAAUUUAUAAUCUUUGUUUUAGAAAUUAUAAUUUUUGCUGUUCAUGUUUUCUCUUAUCUUUGUUAUGAUAUCCAUAGAAACAUGAUUGACAUUAUCAAAUGCAGUCAUGCUUUAUUGCAAAAAAAAAAUUAAAAUAAAAUAAAUUCAGUCAUGCUGCAGGUGUUUUCUUCUAAUUUGGUGGAAAACCAUGAAGUUUGCAGUGUUUCACUAGAGAAAAGUUUGGUCCUGGGAGGGAUAAGAUCCAUGGAAAGAACUCUAUUUAGGUGAAAUUACUUCAGGGUUUAAUCCCACCACAGUUGCACGAAUUAUAUCUACAGACAUAGAGUACCUUGUUGAAGAGCCAUGAGUUCUGACUUGAUCUGUUAAAAUUUGGAUUCGUUGCUUUGUUAUAAACGUUCUUUAACGUCACUCCAAAUUGCUGCUGCAGUGGAGCAAUGAAGAACAGUGGGAUUGCAUUUCCUGUGAAAGGGAAUUUAGAAGCCAAGAUGCAACUAUAUUGUUGUUGCGUUUCCAAGCGAUGUAGUUUGGAGCUUCAGCAUCUUGUUCAGCAAUGGAACCAUUGGCAAAACUGAAUAUCACCAAAUUGUUGAGUAAAGUUGAAACUAUUGUCAACUUGUAUAUCCCAAAUUGUUGAGUUGGUGAAAGUCUUAUAGUUGAACCACUUUGCUUAGUGUGACAUACAUAUAUGCUGUUGUUGGAACACCACCUUCAUAAUUAUCCACUAAACUGUCUUGUAAUUCAAUCUCCACCAUCUGCUAAUAUAAGUCAGAUGCUGGUAUAAACUUUCAAAAGGUAUCAGCAGCUAAUCUAUUAUUGUCUGUGCUAUAGAUAGUUUGGAAUCUUCUACAACCUCAUUAGAAAUUAGAAUAUUUGUCUUGUAAUAUACCGCCUCAUGCAUUCUUUUUCCACAUCAAUAGAUUAGCAUCCUUUGUCAUUUUAUUAGCAUACUAAGAAAUAUUUCUUUCCACAGUCGUGCAAUUAGACGCCGUGGGUUGUCUGAUCAAGAUUCGACAAUCCAAAUCUAAAAUAAAAAACUAAAUACGCCCUUCUUUUUUAACCACCCCAUGAAGAUUAGACGAUCCGUGUCGUCUUGACCGCACGACUGUGGUUCUUGCUGACUGCAGGGAAUCCGAGUUUGUGUAUAUCUGUGCACGUUGCAUUAGAUCUGUUAAGAGUUGAUAAGUAAGUGAAGUACUUGAUUUGCAAAAAAGGAUUUUUGAUUCAUUGUUCGAUGACUGGUGCUGUAAUUAUUGACAUAUUAUUAUGCUUAACCUGUCAAUAUAAGAUUAUGCAGAACCAAAAUAUUUUAGUUUUAACAAAAAAUGCUAUCAAAGAAAACCAUACAAGUGCAAUUAAAAAUUUAAGGGGUUUGUGUGUUAAGAGUUGAAGCAUUUGGUUCAUAAGGUAGAAUUAGGCUUCAAUGUUGGUCCCAUAUAAUAUGGCCAUUAUCAUGCUGCAUUAUGGCAACUAAUGCGACCACUACCAACUAAAAAAAUUUGGAUCAUGGUUAUCCUGUGUGAGAUAAAUGGUGAAUAAGCAUUUUAGAACCAAAUGAAAAAGAAUAUAAAACAAUAAUGAAAAUUUUGGCAUAUUCAUGGCCGGUUCGCAGCUUGUCCAACCAACUCUAUGUAGUCGGACCGAUGCAGAUGAGUAAGAAAAAACACCACUAUGCCAUUGAACCAUUACAAUGGUAUAGUGGUGUUUUUUCUAUGUCAGACAGGUUUUUAGUUGUUGGUUAGGCAUCCUGCUUUUUUCUUUCAUAAUUAUUCAUUACUCCAAAUUUGAAGGUUUUUUCAACUAUACUGAUGAAGUAUAANNNNNNNNNNNNNNNNNNNNNNNNNNNNNNNNNNNNUCAUUUCCCUUCAUUUUGUAUAAAGCAUAACAUUUUUAAUUUGCUACAUACCAUUACUAUUGCCUUUCUUAUCAGGUUUCAUUAACAAUAAUUUUUCUUUUUGGUACAAAAUUAUUUGGCCUAUUACUCAUCACUGUGCAAAUUCAUUCACAGGCUCAUAAAUUGAACAACAGUGGACAAAUACAAGAUUUGUGCAUUGGAUAUAUAAAGAACUAUAUCCAUCAUACUAUGGAAAAUUUAAUUUCAUAUUGAAUAGUUAGUUAUAAGAGAUUAUCAUGUACAAUAUACUAUAUUCGAUCUUAUUUUUAAUUAACUUUCCUAUCCUAUCAGAAUUUCAUCAACCGAUUGCUAUGUUUGGAAAAGUAGCGCGCCUUGAAUGUAUUUGAUGGCAUAUAUUCAUCUCAGUUGCAAUGCAGUUGGUUAAUGGAGAAGAGAAGAGAUGCAAACCGUCAUCACCGGAUUUGGAAAACAAAGGCUAUCCCUACUCUUAGUUGCAUGUUAGUUACUUGUGUUCUCAAUUCUUCUCUUAGUUGCAUGGUUGGAACACUCAGCUGUUGCUUAAUAUAAGAAGAAUAAUGCUAGGAAAACUCACUGGUUGGAGUGACUUGCUAGAGAAGUAAACA
RNAcentral lists this long non-coding RNA (16357 nucleotides) under Trifolium pratense (red clover). Its description in RNAcentral is "long non-coding RNA (TPRA_LNC000831)". The record is from RNAcentral. Lineage: Eukaryota; Viridiplantae; Streptophyta; Magnoliopsida; Fabales; Fabaceae.